AUUGAACGCUGGCGGCAGGCCUAACACAUGCAAGUCGAGCGGAUGAAGGGAGCUUGCUCCUGGAUUCAGCGGCGGACGGGUGAGUAAUGCCUAGGAAUCUGCCUGGUAGUGGGGGAUAACGUCCGGAAACGGGCGCUAAUACCGCAUACGUCCUGAGGGAGAAAGUGGGGGAUCUUCGGACCUCACGCUAUCAGAUGAGCCUAGGUCGGAUUAGCUAGUUGGUGGGGUAAAGGCCUACCAAGGCGACGAUCCGUAACUGGUCUGAGAGGAUGAUCAGUCACACUGGAACUGAGACACGGUCCAGACUCCUACGGGAGGCAGCAGUGGGGAAUUUUGGACAAUGGGCGAAAGCCUGAUCCAGCCAUGCCGCGUGUGUGAAGAAGGUCUUCGGAUUGUAAAGCACUUUAAGUUGGGAGGAAGAGCAGUAAGUUAAUACCUUGCUGUUUUGACGGUACCAACAGAAUAAGCACCGGCUAACUUCGUG
Molecule: ribosomal RNA, 484 nt
Filed under: uncultured bacterium
Lineage: Bacteria
Description: partial 16S ribosomal RNA
Rfam family: Bacterial small subunit ribosomal RNA
Source: RNAcentral